CGCCUCGCCUCCCCGCCCCUGGCCGCCCCUCCCCACCUCGUCCAAGGGGGCCGGAACGGCGUCGGCGCGCGGGGGCUUUUCGGAGCAGUCGAGUGGAAAAUAGACUUUAACCCGCUUUGUGGCGGCCGGGGCGCCCGGAGCGCUCUCCAAACCAAGGCUCCUGGCGCUCAGGCGGGCCGCUGCCAAGACCCGGCCUGGAGUCCCUGCAGAGUUGCGCGGCGCGUGGACCCCGUGGCCUUGGGGCGUCAGGAGGCCCAGCCUGGAUCUGCGCGCCUGGGCGGCGCUCAGGCCGCUAGGAUGGACCCCGGCAGCGGCGAGGAAGCGGAACUCUCUGCGGCUUCCUCUCCACAGUGCGCUGGCAAGGUCCAGGUCCCAGCCUCCCCACCGCUGCCCGCGCCCUCCUAGGCCUCGGAGCACCGCCUUUCUGCGGCCUGGAAGGUCGGGGUGGGAAAGUUUGCGGAGUUCCGGCUCUCACGGCCAGUCGUGAGAAUUGCCCCCAGGGAAUUCGUCCGCAACACAGAAAAACUGGCCGGAGCAGAGCCGUCCGCGGUUCCGCGGUUGCAGGUGGAAGGUGAAGGUCGAGGGAGGUCAGGCUGCCUCUGCGUGUCCUGACGGCCGGCGUGUUCUCUUGGGAUGGGCUGCGGCUACUUGGACAGCUUCAAUUUAAGCCACAGUGUCUCCGAGGCCCUGGCCUGGUCCGGCCCGCUGACACUUGAGCCCCCCGAGCCUCAGAGAAGGCGAGGAGGUGGAUCGCCCAGUGCCGAGGCCCGCCGUCCUGGUCCGAGCCGGUCGCGGCGCGGUGGCUGGGCACAGGAGCUGCUUCCAGCCCCGCGAACAGCUGGAGGGUUGCAGUGGGACCGCUUCGGCGGCUUCUCCCGCGCAAUGCCCCGUCUGGCCCCUUGUGAAGGCAGUGAGCGUCCCCUUUCCAGAGCUGUCCCCCGUGACAUCCAGAAAACGCGAAACCUCAGGAACAAGGCCGCAGCUUCAGACCGCGGCCCAGGAGGCCGAUAGUGGCCAGCGACGUGCCCCAGGACGGGCUGCUUCUGCACGGCCCCUUCGCACGCAAGCCCAAGCGGAUCCGUACGGCCUUCUCGCCCUCGCAGCUGCUGCGGCUGGAGCGCGCCUUCGAGAAGAACCACUACGUGGUGGGCGCCGAGCGGAAGCAGCUGGCCGGCAGUCUCAGCCUUUCCGAGACGCAGGUGAAGGUGUGGUUCCAGAACCGGAGGACAAAGUACAAACGGCAGAAGCUGGAGGAGGAAGGGCCUGAGUCCGAGCAGAAGAAGAAGGGCUCCCAUCACAUCAACCGGUGGCGCAUCGCCACGAAGCAGGCCAAUGGGGAGGACAUCGAUGUCACCUCCAAUGACUAGGGUGGGCCACCACAAACCCACGAGGGCAGAGUGCUGCUUGCUGCUGGCCAGGCCCCUGCGUGGGCCCAAGCUGGACUCUGGCCACUCCCUGGCCAGGCUUCGGGGAGGCCUGGAGUCAUGGCCCCACAGGGCUUGAAGUCCGGGGCUGCCAUUGACAGAGGGACAAGCAAUGGGCUGGCUGAGGCCUGGGACCACUUGGCCUUCUCCUCGGAGAGCCUGCCUGCCUGGGCGGGCCCGCCCGCCACCACAGCCUCCCAGCUGCUCUCCGUGUCUCCAAUCUCCCUUUUGUUUUGAUGCGUUUCUGUUUUAAUUUAUUUUCCAGGCACCACUGUAGUUUAGUGAUCCCCAGUGUCUCCCUUCCCUAUGGGAAUAAUAAAAGUCUCUCUCUUAAUGACACGGGCAUCCAGCUCCAGCCCCAGAGCCUGGGGUGGUAGAUUCCGACUCUGAGGGCCAGUGGGGGCUGGUAGAGCAAAUGCGUUCAGGGCCUGGGAGCCCGGGUGGGGUACUGGUGGAGGGGGGCAAGGGGAAUUCAUUAACUCCUCUCUUUAGUUGGGAGACCCUGGUCUCUACCUCCAGCUCCACAGCAAGAGAAACAGGCUAGACAUAGGGAAGGGCCACCCUGUAUCUUGAGGGAGGACGGGCCCAGGUCUUUCUUAACAUAUUGAGGGGUGGGAAUCAGGCCCAGGUAAUUCAGUGGGAGACAGUGCUUCCCUCUGCCUAGAGACUCUGGUGGCUUCUCCAGUUGAGGAGAAACCAGAGGAAGGGAGGAUUGGGGUCUGGGGGAGGGAACACCACUCACAAAGGCUGACGGUUCCAGACCGAAGUCGUGGGCCCACCAGGAUGCUCACCUGUCCUGGGGGAACCCCUGGGCAGGUUAAGACUACAGAGAUAGGACUUAAGGCUGAGCCUGCAUCCAGUCCCCAGUGACUCACGGCCUCCUCAGCCCAAGAAAGAGCAAUGCGCUGGGACCCGCUGAGCUCUUAUGUUCACCUGCCCUUCUGUUUGUCCCACUUGCUCAUCUGUUUGUCAGGAUGAAGGUUUCCUGACAAGCAUAUCUGCAUUCCUAAGUCUUUACCUUACGACAUCUAGACCCCUCUUUCUUCUUCACCUCCCAUGUGCUCAUGAAACCUCUGCUCUUUGGCCUCCAUGCCACCAUUCUGCUGGUGCUGACAGUCACCAACUACAGUCGCUGGCCACUCCCUUGUGGCCAAACUCAACCACUUCCUGUCUGGGUUCACCUGCUCCCCGAUCUGUUGGCCAUGCCCUCCUGGAUUCUCCCACCCUGCUCUGCCUUCAUUUCGGUAGCUCUGACUCCUCCUCCAGCCUGAGCUCAUUCAGUGUCAUCCAUGCCUUGUCACCUCUGGCCACCCCCAGGUCAGUCCUUGCUCUCCCUGCCUCCUCAUUGUGCCCUCUGCCUCGAGGGCUCACAUCCACUUCCAGGACUUCUCUUUGGCUCCCUGGUCUGUGUCUUUAGCUGACCUCCGCUGAGCUGCAGACCCAUCAAGCCAGCUGCCUGGUCCACCCCCUGCCCCUCAGCACCUCAAAGCCAAUACAUCCACAGCAGGACUCACCUCCCAUCUGUGCUUCUCCAGGAUCACCCACCUCGGCAAAAAGCAUUAGCCAUGUACACAGUUUCCCAAGCUACAGGAAACCUGGGAAUCUUCCUCAAGCUUCCUCUCCUCUUCCCCAGCCCCAUCCAUUCCCAUCUAGUGGGUUGAGUCUAGACUGGCUUCCCAACCACACCUCCCUAGUGCAGCCCCCCCGCUGCCCCCCUGCCCAGCUCGUGCCACUGGCCUGGCCUGGGCCCUGCUCCUCUAGGGAGGUUUCUGUGAAUGUCAAGGAUGAGGCCCACUUCAAAGGAGGCCCUCCAUGCUGCAGCUAGAUUUCUCUUCCUUGCACCCAAACAGGGCAGAGUCACCCCCUUCUGAGCCCCUCUGCCCCAUCUUCUUGCCUUGCUCCUGGUACCCUUUGCUUCAGCAUCCCCAUCCCUGUCCCUGAGGGAGCCACAGGUUUUCCCUGUGCUGUGCCUUCGCUCAUGCUGUUCUCACCUGGAAUGUCGGGUGCUUGAUCAAUGUUGAACUCACUGGAAAGAUGUCAGAGGCCCAGCCUUGCUGCCUGGGCCACAUGCAGGGAUCCAAGCACAUAAGGUCGUUCUGCUGGGAGCACAGACCCAGAUCCCACUCGCACUCUCAGUGUCUCCCCCCGCCGCCUCUGCCCACCUCACUUGUGUCCAGUUAAUGCUAGAAACCAAAGGGCUUUGUCCCAUCCCAACACCCCUCUCCCUCCAUCAGUCAGGAAUGCAUUCUGCGCGUCUUGAAAGUCCUAAUCCAGAUUAACCCACAUGGCGACCCUCACUGCCAAGCAGGUGGGAUCACUUCUGGGAGCACACAUGCCCAGGUGUGGAAGGAAGGUGGGAGGAAGAGUCAUCCUUUUGGCCCCAGUGGGGGACAGAGACGGGGUGAGCUGCUCCUCUCAAGAUCCUGCCUCACUUGGUACGGGGAGGGGGUCCAGGAAGAUCACAGCAGAGCACCCCCUGUCAUCCGAAUAAAGGGUUGGAAGGGAUCCAAGGAAACCUGCCAAUCUCCCGAGGCCAGGCCUGCGGGGGGCGGGGCGGGGAGUCCCUGCCGCACUCCCAUCCACCCCCCAUGUUGUGCCUCUCCCUGCAGACGGUAAAUAUUGGUGUUGUGACUUCAUUAAUAAAGGCUUCUGUGAGCCUGAAAAA
Molecule: RNA transcript, 4089 nt
Organism: Cercocebus atys (sooty mangabey)
Lineage: Eukaryota; Metazoa; Chordata; Mammalia; Primates; Cercopithecidae
Gene: EMX1
Gene name: empty spiracles homeobox 1
Exons: 3
Source: RefSeq, a predicted model, not a curated record